UGGGGGAUAUUGCACAAUGGGCGAAAGCCUGAUGCAGCAACGCCGCGUGAGGGAAGACGGUUUUCGGAUUGUAAACCUCUGUCUUCGGUGAAGAAAAAAAUGACGGUAGCCGAGGAGGAAGCCACGGCUAACUACGUGCCAGCAGCCGCGGUAAUACGUAGGUGGCGAGCGUUGUCCGGAAUUACUGGGUGUAAAGGGAGCGCAGGCGGGGAGACAAGUCAGCUGUGAAAACUAUGGGCUUAACCCAUAAACUGCAGUUGAAACUGUUUUUCUUGAGUGGAGUAGAGGUAGGCGGAAUUCCGAGUGUAGCGGUGAAAUGCGUAGAUAUUGGAGGAACACCAGUGGCGAAGGCGGCCUACUGGGCUCUAACUGACGCUGAGGCUCGAAAGCGUGGGGAUCAAACA
Molecule: ribosomal RNA, 404 nt
Filed under: uncultured prokaryote
Description: bacterial SSU rRNA
Rfam family: Bacterial small subunit ribosomal RNA
Source: RNAcentral